UUGAAGUGUAACAUAAUAAAUAAUACUUUAAAGAUGAUAUCAUUAUUUCAAAUGCUCCUCUCUUACAGACCAGAAUUGUCAGAAGCCUUCCUUUUAAUUUUUAGGGAAAUUGGCACACAUAUACAUAACCAACAACAAAAUUAAUUCUCUACACAUAACAACUCUUAAGCUAUGAUAUUUAUGUAAUAAUUACCAUAUUACCCUUUACCACAUUUACUUGAACAUUUUUUUUUGAUUUUUUUUCUUCUUACAAAUAUGUUUUUCCCUUCUCUUUUUAAUUGAUUUCAACUUCUGAUAUAACACUUAUUAAACUUUGUAUUUUACAUAUUAAAAACAUAGAUUUUUUUUCUUCACAUAAAAUGUUUUGAAACUUUCAAAACAGAUUUAUAUUUUAUAAAUUUUAUAAUAUAUUUCAUUAACGCGGUUUUAAUUCUAUACUAUCAUAAAC
RNAcentral lists this long non-coding RNA (448 nucleotides) under Brassica rapa (field mustard). Its description in RNAcentral is "long non-coding RNA (BRAP_LNC004772)". Lineage: Eukaryota; Viridiplantae; Streptophyta; Magnoliopsida; Brassicales; Brassicaceae. The record is from RNAcentral.